This 460-nucleotide ribosomal RNA is filed under the name uncultured bacterium. Its description in RNAcentral is "partial 16S ribosomal RNA". It matches the Rfam family "Bacterial small subunit ribosomal RNA", at positions 338 to 795 of the family's 1533-position model. The record is from RNAcentral.
CCUACGGGAGGCAGCAGUGAGGAAUAUUGGGCAAUGGGCGAAAGCCUGAACCAGCCAAGCCGCGUGAGGGAUGAAGGUUCUAUGGAUUGUAAACCUCUUUUAUAAGGGAAUAAAGUGCGGGACGUGUCCCGGUUUGUAUGUACCUUAUGAAUAAGGAUCGGCUAACUCCGUGCCAGCAGCCGCGGUAAUACGGAGGAUCCGAGCGUUAUCCGGAUUUAUUGGGUUUAAAGGGUGCGUAGGCGGCCUUUUAAGUCAGCGGUGAAAGUCUGUGGCUCAACCAUAGAAUUGCCGUUGAAACUGGGAGGCUUGAGUAUGUUAGAGGCAGGCGGAAUGCGUGGUGUAGCGGUGAAAUGCUUAGAUAUCACGCAGAACCCCGAUUGCGAAGGCAGCCUGCCAGGCCAUGACUGACGCUGAUGCACGAAAGCGUGGGGAUCAAACAGGAUUAGAUACCCCGGUAGUC